RNAcentral lists this ribosomal RNA (28 nucleotides) under Uromyces minor. RNAcentral describes it as "partial 18S rRNA". Lineage: Eukaryota; Fungi; Basidiomycota; Pucciniomycetes; Pucciniales; Pucciniaceae. The record is from RNAcentral.
UGCAGAAGGAUCAUUAAUUAAACCAAGA